GAGGUUGUGGCUCAGUGGUAGAGUGCUUGCCUAGUGUGUGUGAGACACUGGGUUUGAUCCUCAGCACCACA
This 71-nucleotide transfer RNA is filed under the name Marmota monax (woodchuck). Its description in RNAcentral is "tRNA.Thr". Lineage: Eukaryota; Metazoa; Chordata; Mammalia; Rodentia; Sciuridae. The record is from RNAcentral.